UGGGGAAUAUUGCACAAUGGGCGCAAGCCUGAUGCAGCCAUGCCGCGUGUGUNAAGAGGCCUCGGGUUGUAAAGCACUUUCAGCGAGGAGGAAGGUGGUGAGCUUAAUACGCUCAUCAAUUGACGUUACUCGCAGAAGAAGCACCGGCUAACUCCGUGCCAGCAGCCGCGGUAAUACGGAGGGUGCAAGCGUUAAUCGGAAUUACUGGGCGUAAAGCGCACGCAGGCGGUUUGUUAAGUCAGAUGUGAAAUCCCCGGGCUCAACCUGGGAACUGCAUUUGAAACUGGCAAGCUANAGUCUCGUAGAGGGGGGUAGAAUUCCAGGUGUAGCGGUGAAAUGCGUAGAGAUCUGGAGGAAUACCGGUGGCGAAGGCGGCCCCCCUGGACGAAGACUGACGCUCAGGUGCGAAAGCGUGGGGCAGCAAACAGGAUUAGAUACCCUGGUAGUCCACGCUGUAAACGAUGUCGAUUUUGGAGGUUGUGCCCUUGAGGCGUGGCUUCCGGAGCUAACGCG
This 513-nucleotide ribosomal RNA is filed under the name uncultured bacterium. RNAcentral's name for it is "partial 16S ribosomal RNA". It matches the Rfam family "Bacterial small subunit ribosomal RNA", at positions 355 to 859 of the family's 1533-position model. The record is from RNAcentral.